GCCAGGUGUGGUGGUGCAUGCCUGUAAUCCCAGCCACUGGGGAGGCUGAGGCAGGAGGACUGCAAGUUCUAAAUCAGCAACUUAGUGAGACCCUGUCCA
This 99-nucleotide small RNA is filed under the name Marmota monax (woodchuck). Lineage: Eukaryota; Metazoa; Chordata; Mammalia; Rodentia; Sciuridae. The record is from RNAcentral.